RNAcentral lists this ribosomal RNA (468 nucleotides) under uncultured bacterium. RNAcentral describes it as "partial 16S ribosomal RNA". It matches the Rfam family "Bacterial small subunit ribosomal RNA", at positions 28 to 507 of the family's 1533-position model. The record is from RNAcentral.
GACGAACGCUGGCGGCGUGCUUAACACAUGCAAGUCGAACGGAAAGGCCCUGCUUUUGUGGGGUGCUCGAGUGGCGAACGGGUGAGUAACACGUGAGUAACCUGCCCUUGACUUUGGGAUAACUUCAGGAAACUGGGGCUAAUACCGGAUAGGAGCUCCUGCUGCAUGGUGGGGGUUGGAAAGUUUCGGCGGUUGGGGAUGGACUCGCGGCUUAUCAGCUUGUUGGUGGGGUAGUGGCUUACCAAGGCUUUGACGGGUAGCCGGCCUGAGAGGGUGACCGGCCACAUUGGGACUGAGAGACGGCGCAGACUCCUACGGGAGGCAGCAGUGGGGAAUAUUGCACAAUGGGCGGAAGCCUGAUGCAGCAACGCCGCGUGCGGGAUGACGGCCUUCGGGUUGUAAACCGCUUUCGCCUGUGACGAAGCGUGAGUGACGGUAAUGGGUAAAGAAGCACCGGCUAACUACGUG